GUCUAUGGCCAUGCCAGCCUGAACACGCCUGAUCCCAUCUGAUCUUGGAAGCAAGCAGGGUCGGGCCUGGUUAGUACUUGGAUGGGAGACCACCUAGGAAGACCAGGUGGUGUAGGGA
Molecule: ribosomal RNA, 118 nt
Filed under: Pteropus alecto (black flying fox)
Lineage: Eukaryota; Metazoa; Chordata; Mammalia; Chiroptera; Pteropodidae
Source: RNAcentral